CAACUCAUUUAUUUCAUCAUACACCAAAUUUCAUCACAAUAUUUCUCUUUUCUUCACAAGAAAAAUAAAAACCUCAAGAAGUGAAACAAAAUGUGUAUAAGUUCAACAGAGUGGAGUAAUAAUUCAUCACGUCCUCUUUAUUUUUCUAUGCAGAAAAAACAAAGACCAAAGAUAUCUCGAGUUCAACUUCAUAGGCUUGCAAGGAAGAAAAGAAGUGAGGGAAAAGAAACUAAGGUGGAUAUGGAAAUGAGAAAUUUGAAGCUUUAUAUGGAAAAUAUGAGUAUUUUAGAGGAAAAUGAGAAAUUGAGAAAGAAAGCAAGUAUUUUACAUGAAGAAAAUAUUGCUUUGAUGUUUGAAUUUCAAAAGAAAUUUUGUAAGUUUGAUAGAGUCUCUACCAAAGAGACCCCCCAUCUACCCACUACUAAAUUGACAAAAUAACUGUUUUAUAAUAUUAAUAAAUUAUGAGAGGAGAAAAUGUGUGGAUGGAAAAUAAUAUAUUUAAUUUUGUUUGUGUACAUGUCUUGUUCAAGCUAUAUUGCUACUUGUGUGUUGUUAUUUUCAUAAAUUACUUCAUUUUACAUUGUCAUAA
Solanum pennellii is the source of this 589-nucleotide long non-coding RNA. RefSeq lists it as uncharacterized. The record is from RefSeq and is a predicted model, not a curated record. Lineage: Eukaryota; Viridiplantae; Streptophyta; Magnoliopsida; Solanales; Solanaceae. The transcript is spliced from 2 exons.